Mustela lutreola (European mink) is the source of this 184-nucleotide small nuclear RNA. RefSeq annotates it as U2 spliceosomal RNA. Lineage: Eukaryota; Metazoa; Chordata; Mammalia; Carnivora; Mustelidae. The transcript has a single exon. The record is from RefSeq and is a predicted model, not a curated record.
AUGACUUCUCGGCCUUUUGGCUAAGAUCAAGUGUAGUAUCUGUUCUUAUCAGUUUAAUCAUUCUUCUUUUAAAGCCUUGAUAUCCAGUGAUAUUUUAACUCUCCCUAUAGUUUAUUCUUUCUAGAAUGUGAUAUAUCUGGAAUCAUAUGGUAUUAUACCCUUUUCACAUUGGCUUCCAUUAUUU